Molecule: transfer RNA, 72 nt
Filed under: Gimesia panareensis
Lineage: Bacteria; Pseudomonadati; Planctomycetota; Planctomycetia; Planctomycetales; Planctomycetaceae
Description: tRNA-Gly
Rfam family: tRNA
About the family: Transfer RNA (tRNA) molecules are approximately 80 nucleotides in length. Their secondary structure includes four short double-helical elements and three loops (D, anti-codon, and T loops).
Source: RNAcentral
GCGCCUAUGAUGUAACGGUAGCCUACUGUCUUGCCAUGGCGGAAGUGCGGGUUCGAUUCCCGCUGGGUGCUC